Molecule: non-coding RNA, 90 nt
Filed under: Pseudomonas sp. 478
Lineage: Bacteria; Pseudomonadati; Pseudomonadota; Gammaproteobacteria; Pseudomonadales; Pseudomonadaceae
Also listed under: 1 other name
Source: RNAcentral
UGUUAUGGCGGCUGUGUGCUGGACGCCUUCGGGCGAGCCGAGUUGUGCGGGUUAUCGGUUGACCAAGCCUGUACACAGUCCGCCUCCAUC